CCUACGGGGGGCAGCAGUAGGGAAUAUUGCGCAAUGGGGGAAACCCUGAAGCAGCAACGCCGCGUGAAGGAUGAAGGUUUUAGGAUUGUAAACUCCUUUUGUGGGAGAAGAUAAUGACGGUGGCUCACGAAUAAUAACCGGCUAACUCCGUGCCAGCAGCCGCGGUAAUACGGAGGGUGCAAGCGUUACUCGGAAUCACUGGGCGUAAAGAGGGGGGAGGCGGGCUUGUAAGUCAGAUGUGAAAUCCUGUAGCUUAACUACAGAACUGCAUUUGAAACUAUGAGUCUAGAGUGUGGGAGAGGUAGGUGGAAUUCUUGGUGUAGGGGUAAAAGCCGUAGAUAUCAAGAGGAAUACUCAUUGCGAAGGCGACCUACUGGAACACUACUGACGCUCAUGCACGAAAGCGUGGGGAGCAAACAGGAUUAGAUACCCGGGUAGUC
Molecule: ribosomal RNA, 440 nt
Filed under: uncultured bacterium
Lineage: Bacteria
Description: partial 16S ribosomal RNA
Rfam family: Bacterial small subunit ribosomal RNA
Source: RNAcentral